Molecule: transfer RNA, 131 nt
Filed under: Nitrososphaerota archaeon
Lineage: Archaea; Thermoproteati; Nitrososphaerota
Description: tRNA-Ala
Source: RNAcentral
GGGCUGGUAGUUCAGCGGUAGAACCUUGGCAUCAAGAUGCCAAGAUGCCGUGAAUGCGUGCCUCGCACGCACGAGGCCGGGGGUUCAAAUGCCAUCGCCAACCGACGAUGCUGGGGGUCCCCCCCAGUCCA